GUUAGCCUACGGGGGCAGCAGUGGGGAAUAUUGCACAAUGGGGGGAACCCUGAUGCAGCGACGCCGCGUGGGUGAAGGAGUAUUUCGGUAUGUAAAGCCCUAUCAGCAGGGAAGAACAAUGACGGUACCUGACUAAGAAGCACCGGCUAAAUACGUGCCAGCAGCCGCGGUAAUACGUAUGGUGCAAGCGUUAUCCGGAUUUACUGGGUGUAAAGGGAGCGCAGGCGGGAAGCCAAGUCAGCUGUGAAAACUACGGGCUUAACUUGUAG
Molecule: ribosomal RNA, 269 nt
Filed under: uncultured bacterium
Lineage: Bacteria
Description: partial 16S ribosomal RNA
Rfam family: Bacterial small subunit ribosomal RNA
Source: RNAcentral